UCCGGAGGGUGCAAACGUUAUUCGGAAUUAUUGGGCGUAAAGAGCGUGUAGGCGGUUGGUCAAGUCAGAUGUGAAAUCCCGGGGCUCAACCCCGGAAGGGCAUUUGAAACUGGCUUACUUGAGUGCGGGAGAGGAGAGCGGAAUUCCCAGUGUAGAGGUGAAAUUCGUAGAUAUUGGGAGGAACACCGGUGGCGAAGGCGGCUCUCUGGACCGACACUGACGCUGAGACGCGAAAGCGUGGGGAGCAAACAGG
Molecule: ribosomal RNA, 253 nt
Filed under: uncultured bacterium
Lineage: Bacteria
Description: partial 16S ribosomal RNA
Rfam family: Bacterial small subunit ribosomal RNA
Source: RNAcentral